UGCAGAAUCCCGUGAACCAUCGAGUCUUUGAACGCAAGUUGCGCCCGAAGCCAUUAGGCCGAGGGCACGCCUGCCUGGGCGUCACACGUCGUUGCACCCCCACUACUCCCUCGGGAUUGCGGGGGGCGGAUGAUGGCCUCCCGUACGCUCCGUCGCGCGGUUGGCAUAAAUACCAAGUCCUCGGCGGCGCACGCCACGACAAUCGGUGGUUGCGAAACCUCGGUUGCCCGUCGUGUGCGGUCGUCGCGCAUCGAGGGCUCGAAAAAAUGCUUGGCUCCGGCUUGGCUUUCAACGCGACCCCAGGUCAGGCGGGGUUACCCGCUGAAUUUAA
Molecule: ribosomal RNA, 331 nt
Filed under: Prunus environmental sample
Lineage: Eukaryota; Viridiplantae; Streptophyta; Magnoliopsida; Rosales; Rosaceae
Description: eukaryotic LSU rRNA
Rfam family: 5.8S ribosomal RNA (bases 1-84)
Source: RNAcentral